UUAACACUCCUGGAGACUGAAGUCGUCUGUCUAUCAAUGGAAUUGGUACAGAAUAGGAAAUGGGAGUGCAAGAUUUUCUACUCUUUUCAAUCAGUAUGCCUCAAUUCUGACUUUGAGGGAAUACCUCUAAGGGUAGUUUAAUCUCCAUCUCCAUUUAGUCCUUGGCCUCU
This is an unclassified non-coding RNA of Chelonoidis abingdonii (Abingdon island giant tortoise), 170 nucleotides long. The record is from Ensembl. NCBI's taxonomy places the organism in Eukaryota, Metazoa, Chordata, Testudines, Testudinidae.